GGUGGCAAGCCAAAGGUAUAUCGCUAGAGUUUUCAUUUCCUUCCAAGCACAUGGGAGUUUUUUCUGCCAUCAGAGUGUGACCUCAAAGAGUCACUUUUCGGGGUGACAGCAUGGUUCAAAAGACAUGACUUGUUGGGUGGGUAUGGGAGGUUUUGGGUGUGCUUAUGUGUGGGGCGAGGUGAAUUUGGCUUCCACCUGGCAAGUUUUCUCUUCCUUUUUUUUCUAACACAGCUGAUGGGCUGAGUCUUUGUCAUCAUUACCCUCACUCCUGAUUCCCAUUCUCCUUAGGGCUUAGGUCUUUGGAAGCUCUUGGACUGGGUUUGGGUUGGGAUUGGAGGCUGUGGGUUUGGAGGCAUCUUCGAGGGCACUGCCCGUCUCUGCCCGAGUGAUGCUCUGACCACAGACGAAUUCACCGUUCACUGUAAAAAUCAAAUACCUGGUCCUUGCAUGGUUUCCCCCUCCCCCUUUUGACGAGACAAUUGAUGUGCCACCUCCAGUGUAUCUGCUUGGGUUGGAGGACUUGCUUCAACCUCCUCUAGAACAACCAGCGUGUCUUUGGGUUUAUUGCAGUUUACAGGAUCUCUAAGUUAUUUAAGCACUAGAGAGGUGAGAGAUGAAAAAGGGAAAGAUACAAUGGGAACCAUUUUUUUAAACAACUUUAUUGAGAUAUGAUUUACAUAGUGUAAAAUUUACACAUUUCAAGGGUUCUACGCAAUAAUUUUUAGUAAAUGUACUGAGCUGUGCAACCGACACCAUAAUCUAGUUUUAGGACAUUUUCUUUCUUUCUUUCUUUCUUUUUUUUUUUUUGAGACACAGUCUCGCUGUGUCGUUCAGGCUGGAGUGCAGUGACCGGAUCUCAGCUCACUGCAAGCUCUGCCUCCCGGGUUCACACCAUUCUCCUGCCUCAGCCUCCCGAGUAGCUGGAACUACAGGCGUGUGCCACCUCACCUGGCUAGUUUUUUGUAUUUUUUAGUAGAGACGGGGUUUCACCGUGUUAGCCAGGAUGGUCUCGAUCUCCUGACCCCGUGAUCCGCCCGUCUCGGCCUCCCAAAGUGCUGGGAUUACAGGCUUGAGCCACCGUGCCCAGCCGGGACAUUUUCAUAACCCUGAUAAGACUCCAUAUGCUGAUCCUAGUCCAUUCCCAGGCAGCCACUAAUCUGCUGUCUCUAUAGAUCUGCCUAUUCUGGACGUUUUAUAUAAAUGGAAGCCUGCAAUAUGUGGGUUUUGCACCGGCUAUCGCGUGAUGUUUUUGAGGUCUAUACAUGUAGUGAUACAUUGCUGAAUAGUAUUCCACUGUAAGGACAUAGUGCGUGUUAUUUACUAAUUCACUGGUUGAUGGACACUUGGGGUGUUUCUGCUUUUUGGGCGGUUGUGAAUAAUGCUGCUGUGAGCAUUCGCAUAGACGUCUGUGUGUGGACAUAGGUUUUCAUUUCUCUUGGGGAGAUUCCUGGGAGCAGGAUUCCUGGGUCACAUGGCAAAUUUAUGUUGACAUUUUUAAGAACUCAUUGAACUGUCUUCCAAAGUGGCUGUGCCAUUCUGCAUUCCUGCCAGCAGUGUUUGACUGGAACCAGCCAAUUUUUUUUAUCUUCUUAUAAACUGGGUGGUGAAGAGGUUUAUUAGACACCGCUGCGUGUGAAAUGCAACCAUUGGUAUCUGCCUGUGGGCAGCAGACCCUCACUGGGGCCUUGAUAACACACAGGAAAAGCCUCCACACCGGUUUUCACAUUGGCUCCCCCAGCAAAAUUCAGAGCUUCCAGACCGCAAAAGGAUCCAUAGUCAUGGCUCCUUCUCCCUUCUCCCCUCCAGUCUUGCUAGCCACACACCCCUGCAGUCCAUCUCCUUCCAAAAAGGAUUCGCUUUUAUAAAAGAUGCUCUGUGUCACACUCUUGCUAAUUUAGCGACUUUAUUGGACAACGUGAUUUACCAUCCGUGGCCUGCCUUCGAAUGGAUUCAUUUACCUGCAUUGAUUGCUGUAUGUCGGUGUUAACUGCCACCAGAAAAUGCACAGCGGUGCUUAAAAACGGUGUAGCAUUUUGCUUUCUGAUAAUGAUAGUUAACUCCAUCUUUGAUCGCCAAUGACAUGGUAUUCCCCUUCUGAAGAUAGACCUAAAUUGCAUAACUCUGUUCCUUGGUGAUGAGAAAAUAAAUUACUUUUCUACACUGUGUUCGGCUAAGUGCUUCAUCAAUUUGGGUUCUUUAGUAGGUUUUCAUUCUUUUCUGGGGGUGCUCUUUUGCUUCUCAAAGUGGGAUCCUCGGACACGCAGCAUCAGCACCCCCUGGGGACUUGUUAGGAAUGCAGAAUCUCAAGCCCCACCCCCGACCUUCUGAGUCCGAGUUUGUACUUUAACAGGAUUCCCAGGCGAUGGAUGUGCACGGGAAGUUCUAGAAGCACUGCUCUAAGCCAUGGGUCAGCAAAAUAAGGCCUUGAAGGCCACAUCCAGUCAGCUCAGUGGUUAUAUAAAUAAAGUUUUAUUGGAACACAGCCACGCCCGCUCAUGUAUGUGUUGUUGUUUUGUGGCUACUCGGCAUUCACCUGCAGAACUGAGUAGCUGCCACGGAGACUUGACGGGCUGCAGAGCCAAAAAUGUGUAUUCCUGGGUCUUUACAGAAAAUGCUUGCCCACCUGUGCUCUGGAGAUGGUUUUAUUUUUAUUUACUUAUGUAUGUUUUAAAUUACUAGCUUUUUCUUGUUUAGUAUUACUCAUUUUGCAUUUAUUUUACAUUUUGGGACAUUUUACAUUUCUUUUUUCAGCUAAGUUAUGAGUGCUGUUCAACCCCAGUUUACUUUAGAUACUAUCCCUUAGAAUGAGAUAAUGAAAAUUAGAAGAAGCUCAGGCUUCAGAUUCUGGUCUACAAACUAAAACGUUUUGAGGAUCCCUGAGGUGGCUGGUUAGCUCUGUUUUUAUGUCAUUGUAUUUUUUUUGCAAGCAAGGGGGUUCGUGGAUUGUGAAUCUGGAAGACCAUAUAUAAACAUUCACAAAUUAGGAUGGGGAAGAAAAGAAUUCCUUUGUCGAAUCAUAGUGUCUGGUUAGGUUGGGAAAAUAUAGGGAGACGAGCCAUGGGAGGCACCUUGGAAAGGGAAGCAGGCAAGACUGGGGUCCCCUCCAGGAAUGGCCUGCACUUGGUUUAAUGUUCUGCUGCCGCCAUCUUGAAAUUUAUAAUUUUUGAACAAGGCACCUGUAUUAGUUUGGUUCUCCGGGGAAACAGAACCAUGUAUAGGCUGAGUGUCUCUUAUCCAAAAUGCUUGGGACUGGAAUCUUUGUGCAUUCUGUAUCUUUUCAGAUUUGGGAUAUUUUGUGUUAUGCUUACUGGUUGAGCACCCAUAAUCUGAAAUUCUGAAAUCCAAAAUGCUCCAGUGAGCAUUUCUUUUGAGCAUCAUGUUGGUGCUCAGAACGUUCUGGAGCAUUUCGGAUGAUUGCAUUAGGGAUGCUCAAUCUGUGUAUUAUAAUCCCAGCACUUAGGGAGGCUGAAGUGGGCAGAUCACUUGAGGUCAGGAGUUCAAGACCAGCCUGGCCAACAUGGUGAAACCCAGUCUCUACUAAAAAUACAAAAAUUAGCUGAGCGUGGUGGUGGGCACCUGUAAUCCCAGCUACUUAGGAGGCUGAGGCAGGGGAAUCGCUUGAACCUGGGAGGCAGAGGUUGCAAUGAGUCAAGAUCAUACCACUGCACUCUAGCUUGGGCUACCGAGCAAGACUCUAUCUAAAAAAAAAAAAAAAA
This 3716-nucleotide long non-coding RNA is filed under the name Macaca fascicularis (crab-eating macaque). Its description in RNAcentral is "lncRNA (ENSMFAG00000061255.1)". Lineage: Eukaryota; Metazoa; Chordata; Mammalia; Primates; Cercopithecidae. The record is from RNAcentral.